UACAGAGGGUGCAAGCGUUAAUCGGAAUGACUGGGCGUAAAGGGCGCGUAGGUGGCUGAAUAAGUUAGCUGUGAAAUCCCCGGGCUUAACCUGGGAACUGCAGUUGAUACUGUUUAGCUUGAGUAAGGUAGAGGGAAGUGGAAUUUCCGGUGUAGCGGUGAAAUGCGUAGAUAUCGGAAGGAACACCAGUGGCGAAGGCGGCUUCCUGGACCUAUACUGACACUGAGGCGCGAAAGCGUGGGGAGCAAACAGG
This 253-nucleotide unclassified non-coding RNA is filed under the name uncultured Gammaproteobacteria bacterium. RNAcentral's name for it is "contains 16S-23S intergenic spacer region". It matches the Rfam family "Bacterial small subunit ribosomal RNA", at positions 524 to 776 of the family's 1533-position model. The record is from RNAcentral. Lineage: Bacteria; Pseudomonadati; Pseudomonadota; Gammaproteobacteria.